UGCCUACUGAGCUGAUAACA
RNAcentral lists this microRNA (20 nucleotides) under Chiloscyllium plagiosum (whitespotted bambooshark). RNAcentral's name for it is "microRNA cpl-miR-24b-5p". The record is from RNAcentral. Lineage: Eukaryota; Metazoa; Chordata; Chondrichthyes; Orectolobiformes; Hemiscylliidae.